UGGGGAAUUUUCCGCAAUGGGCGAAAGCCUGACGGAGCAAUACCGCGUGAGGGAGGAAGGCUCUUGGGUCGUAAACCUCUUUUCUCAAGGAAGAAUGCAAUGACGGUACUUGAGGAAUAAGCAUCGGCUAACUCCGUGCCAGCAGCCGCGGUAAUACGGAGGAUGCAAGCGUUAUCCGGAAUGAUUGGGCGUAAAGGGUCUGUAGGUGGUACUGAAAGUCUGCUGUUAAAGAGCAAGGCUCAACCUUGUAAGAGCAGUGGAAACUACAGAACUGGAGAGCAGUAGGGGUAGCAGGAAUUCCCAGUGUAGCGGUGAAAUGCGUAGAGAUUGGGAAGAACAUCGGUGGCGAAAGCGUGCUACUGGGCUGUAUCUGACACUCAGGGACGAAAGCUAGGGGAGCGAAAG
Molecule: ribosomal RNA, 405 nt
Filed under: uncultured prokaryote
Description: bacterial SSU rRNA
Rfam family: Bacterial small subunit ribosomal RNA
Source: RNAcentral